GUGAAUCAUCGAAUCUUUGAACGCAAAUUGCACUCUCCUCGGAGAGUAUGCCUGUUUGAGGGUCAGCCUAUAAAAAAAUCGACAUCGUUGCUGUUUCGCGGUGGCGUUCGUCGGAAUUGAGCCGUCUUUCAAAUGUUAAUUCAUGUCAAAGUGGCUUGAAAUUCAUCCAUCCGGUACGAUUAAAGCGUAUUUAAGAUCAAUCUUGAUUAAGAACGCGCGAUGACGUACCAUCUCGUGUAGUACGUUUGACCUGGGUCAUCAGGUUCAUUCGUAUACUAUACUCGAACUUUUGCACUCAAAU
Molecule: unclassified non-coding RNA, 301 nt
Filed under: Funneliformis mosseae
Lineage: Eukaryota; Fungi; Glomeromycota; Glomeromycetes; Glomerales; Glomeraceae
Description: partial contains 5.8S ribosomal RNA and internal transcribed spacer 2
Rfam family: 5.8S ribosomal RNA (bases 1-65)
Source: RNAcentral